GAUGAACGCUGGCGGCGUGCCUAAUACAUGCAAGUCGAGCGAACAGAUGAGGAGCUUGCUCCUCUGACGUUAGCGGCGGACGGGUGAGUAACACGUGGAUAACCUACCUAUAAGACUGGGAUAACUUCGGGAAACCGGAGCUAAUACCGGAUAAUAUAUUGAACCGCAUGGUUCAAUAGUGAAACACGCUUUUGCUGUCACUUAUAGAUGGAUCCGCGCCGCAUUAGCUAGUUGGUAAGGUAACGGCUUACCAAGGCAACGAUGCGUAGCCGACCUGAGAGGGUGAUCGGCCACACUGGAACUGAGACACGGUCCAGACCCCUACGGGAGGCAGCAGUAGGGAAUCUUCCGCAAUGGGCGAAAGCCUGACGGAGCAACGCCGCGUGAGUGAUGAAGGUCUUCGGAUCGUAAAAAUCUGUUAUUAGGGAAGAACAAAUGUGUAAGUAACUAUGCACGUCUUGACGGUACCUAAUCAGAAAGCCACGGCUAACUACGUG
Molecule: ribosomal RNA, 497 nt
Filed under: uncultured bacterium
Lineage: Bacteria
Description: partial 16S ribosomal RNA
Rfam family: Bacterial small subunit ribosomal RNA
Source: RNAcentral